GUGCUCACUUUGGCACACAUGUCCUAAAACUAGAACACUACAGCGACAAUUAGCACGGGCUCUGUGCAAGGAUGAUACACAAACUUGAGAGCAGUUAACAGACAUC
Small nuclear RNA from Antechinus flavipes (yellow-footed antechinus), 106 nucleotides. The record is from RefSeq and is a predicted model, not a curated record. NCBI's taxonomy places the organism in Eukaryota, Metazoa, Chordata, Mammalia, Dasyuromorphia, Dasyuridae.